CCGAUCUUAGCUCAGUUGGAAGAGCGUGGGACUGUAAUUGGAUAUCGAUCACCCCGUGAUUACGUAAUCCCGAGGCCGUGCGUUCGAUCCGCACAGAUCGGA
RNAcentral lists this transfer RNA (102 nucleotides) under Armillaria gallica. It matches the Rfam family "tRNA". From Rfam's summary of the family: Transfer RNA (tRNA) molecules are approximately 80 nucleotides in length. Their secondary structure includes four short double-helical elements and three loops (D, anti-codon, and T loops). The record is from Rfam by way of RNAcentral. Lineage: Eukaryota; Fungi; Basidiomycota; Agaricomycetes; Agaricales; Physalacriaceae.